AACGAACGCUGGCGGCAUGCCUAACACAUGCAAGUCGAACGAGACCUUCGGGUCUAGUGGCGCACGGGCGCGUAACGCGUGGGAAUCUGCCCUUGGGUUCGGAAUAACAGUUGGAAACGACUGCUAAUACCGGAUGAUGACGUAAGUCCAAAGAUUUAUCGCCCAGGGAUGAGCCCGCGUAGGAUUAGCUAGUUGGUGGGGUAAAGGCCUACCAAGGCGACGAUCCUUAGCUGGUCUGAGAGGAUGAUCAGCCACACUGGGACUGAGACACGGCCCAGACUCCUACGGGAGGCAGCAGUGGGGAAUAUUGGACAAUGGGCGAAAGCCUGAUACAGCAAUGCCGCGUGAGUGAUGAAGGCCUUAGGGUUGUAAAGCUCUUUUACCCGGGAUGAUAAUGACAGUACCGGGAGAAUAAGCCCCGGCUAACUCCGUG
This 433-nucleotide ribosomal RNA is filed under the name uncultured bacterium. RNAcentral's name for it is "partial 16S ribosomal RNA". It matches the Rfam family "Bacterial small subunit ribosomal RNA", at positions 29 to 507 of the family's 1533-position model. The record is from RNAcentral.